GACCAUCUUUGCCAUUAGAAGCCUAGACUAUUUCCACAAAAUUGAUACUGCCUGAAAGCUCCCCAAAGCCAGUGAUUCUUCUUAUGUCAGGAGAUGAAGAUUCAAGGCAAUGAAAAUCAGCAGAUAAAAAAGGCUGCACUUGGAGUCAACAAUACCUGGAUUCAAGCCCUAUUCCUGACACACCAUUGCUAAUGUAUAAGCAUGGACAAGUAAUCAAAAUGCUGACCUGGAGAAAUCUGGAGGAUUUAGAAAAUCAGAGACAGUAGGAGAAGGUAUGUCAGGCUGUAGAGGAAAUGGCAGGAGCAAAGCUUUCGAAGAAGCAAUGUGCACAAAUGGAUUAGAGGAUGUGAGCUGGCAAUAUUCAGAAAAGAAGGAAAGGUCCAGAGGAUGCUUUAGAAAGAACUUGAUAAUGACCCCCUCAUAUAAGAAGAAACACAGGUAAAACCCACAGAAGACAAUGCUGCUUCCCCAACAGUUCACCAACAACAGGAUGAGAACUUUACUAGCAACACUUUCACUUGGCAUCCCUCAAGGCUGAUGGCAUGCAUUAUAAGCUCCUUGAGGACACAGAUGGAACCAUUUUUUAAAAAUUCUGCACAGGAACUAGCCCAAAGACAUGUGUGUGCAUGUGUGUGUGUGUGUGUGUGUGUGUGUGUGUGUGUAUACACACUUAAUCAUUGUUAAGUGAAGGUAAAGGUGAAUUUCAGGAUUAUGAUGCCACUGUGGCUAUGGAAUAAAAUGAAACUAUCAGGACUCAAUUGGGGUUGAAUAUGCUAUCUUGGCUUCCUAAACUCCAUGAUCUAACCAUUAAACCAACAAGCUACCUCUCUGAUCUCAAUGCAAAUUAUUAAACCCAGAGAUGGAAAAGAGAAGCUAGAGAAUGAGAUGCAAUCUCUGGGGAAGCCCAGGCCCCAGCUCAACAGGGUCGGUGACAAGAUAGAAAUGAGAGUGACUUUAAGCUGUGCCUCAGGAAUGUGGGCACCUUUGAUUCAAUUCACAAACAUUGAUAGAAAGGAUUAGAGCAAGGUGGCUAAAAUAAAAAUGGAUAGAGGAUUCAAAACCAAUUACCAAAGCAUAAUCUUCCUCAGAUGGGCACGCUAAGAAUAAUUACUCUCCACAAGAAGAAUGUCUGUUCUAGACACAUUACAGAAGCCUGCAUAAUUAAAUGUAGCAUCCCAUCCUCAUUUAUCUUUCCAGCGGCCUGCUUUCAAGGGUCCACCUGUCUUGCCUAGAAAGACACAGAACCUGGCUCCAAACUCCCAAGGGGAUUUGGUGUUGAGAGAACAAAGUUUCAAAAGUAGAAAAUUAUCCUAUAAUUGUGAGGAGACAAUACCACUUGAUAAGCAGCAACCUUUAAGAAUCAAUUUGCUCCUUCUACUUUCCUUCAGGCACCUCUUGAUCCACCCCCUUUCAUACUCACACACACACCCCUCCAGAUAUCCCAUGAGCAUGCCAUGAUAAUUCCUUCCUUCAGGAACUUGUUUUUUCCCCAAUGAAGUCACUUGACUUCUCCUGAGCCUCAGUUUCAAAAUGUGGAAAAUAAAAAUCUCCCUCAGAGGUUUGUGGUGAAGAUCAAAUGAGAUAAUGUUCACAAGUCACGUCACAAAAAAUUCUAAGCACUAUAUAAAUACAUUUAGUGGACUGAUCAUCAAAAGUGAUCUGGCCAGUUUUAAUCCUCCUAUCAUAACUAUAAUGCAUCUUAUAUCUCUAUGCCACUUCUGUGAUCCAUGUUAUAGUAAAUUUGUUAUCUAUUCCCUUUAUUUGAUCAGACUGGUUACAGCACAUUGCUCUAAAUGCAAUAUUUUUUUUAAACCCUUACCUUCCAUCUUUGAGUCAAUACUGUGUAUUGGCUCCAAGGCAGAAGAGUGGUAAGGGCUAAGCAAUGGGGGUUAAGUGACUUGCCCAGGGUCACACAGCUGGGAAGUGUCUGAGGCCAGAUUUGAACCCAGGACCUCCCGUCUCUAGGCCUGGUUCUCAAUCCACUGAGAUACCCAGCUGCCCCCUAAAUGCAGUAUUAUAUCUUUUUUACCUUCCUAUGGCAUAGUAUCCCAAAAGCCUUAAGCCUUAAUGGCUUAAAACCUCACUGAGACUAUUUUAUUUUAAAUGAUGUCCACCAUGCUUCCUAAUAUUCAUCAAUUUCCAUUUAAAUGUAAGUCAUUUUAUAUAUCGUGUUAUUCUUCUGUACAUCUCUGUGUGUGCUUUAAAUACAAAAUAUCCCUCCACUACAAUAUUCUGGUCAUGAGUCAUAUUUCACCAAGUUUUUGUGAUACCUAUGAGGUCAUUUUCAACUUUCUAUGUUAAGAUAUUUAGAUUGAUUUUUCUAUAACCUAUACUCAGAAAAUUGGUACACAGGUCAUGAGUCUAGCUUCUAGCCCACUAUCCAGUUGUUUUAUCUCAUAAAUCACUGGAUUUUUCUACUUUUUUUCAUGUUACAUCAAUAAAUAGGUCUCCUUGAGUUUUACAAGGAAAAUUCUUUCCUGCAAGGAAAAGGAUGAUUAUUCAUGCAAAUAGCCUUCUUUAUUGAUAUCCAGAGGGUCCCUACUUAUCCAUGCAGGGCAAUUAGCAUACCACUAAGAUAGUUUUCUUUCAGACAGACAGAACUUGCCCAAAAUAAAUUCUGCAAAACUUUUAUGAAAGCUAAACUUCUUAAGGCUCUAGCCUAUAAAAAAGUAAAACUUCCUUUACAAUUCAAAUAUACCUACUGUCCUUAAAGUAUAAUUUUAUUUAUAAAAAAUCUUAUUUAUGUGAUACUUUUCAAAAAAAUAUACUUAUUUCAUAUAAGGAGGGAUGUCUAUAUGCCUUUACCCUCAAUUAAUUUCCAAGAAUGGUAAUGUACUUAUAACAACAGAGAAUCUUAGCAUUCUUAUCAUAUUCUAGAAGUUAGGCAAAUUGAUCUAUAGAUCAAGAAGUCUCCAGCCACUGCCAAUACACACCUCUAAUAAACACACUAGCCUCUCUCCCACUAAGAGUAUGCUAAUAGAAAGUAGAGACAUACAAAGUCCCACCUUCUAAGCUAUAAAGGUAGCAUGACUAUAAUUGAGUGUUUCAUUUUUCUCACUUAAAUGAUAUAGAGGAUAACUCUACCAUCUGGGUCCAUUUGCUCAACAAAUGGGAUCCAAUUUCCAGACUAGGGUCCCCAAUUGUAUCCUUCUUUUUUGAUAGAGACUAGAAAUCUAAAGAGAACUCAUGGGGGGAAAAAGAACUAGAAGUGGUUUGGGAUAGUGCCAUCAACUUCUUUCUAAAUUAAAAAAAAAUAAUUCUACAUAAAAAAAAAUGUAAGGAAAAGUUCGAGGGCAUAUGUUUUUAAGAAACAUAUGGAGUUAAGCGCCUAUGUGUUAAUGAGUGGAUAUAAGCUAAGGAUUGUAAAAAAGAAAUGAAUACCACCUCUCAUUAGUGCUGCAUUUGAUGGCAGAGUAAGAGGGAGAAAAUGAGCCACUUUAAAAAGGUCUUUAACGUUGAUGGGUCAAUUUUGGCAAUUACAGGAUUUACUCAUGUAACUCAUUGCACCAUGCUGAAAUGGACCUUUGAAUCAGCAAAUGCAGUCUUCAUUCAGAAGGCAAUAAUAAGGUUAGGAUGAGUUCCAUACAGGGAGGAUGUUAAUUUCUCCUCUUUACAAUACAAGAGAAACUCAAGAAUCCCUUUGCCUUUCCAUAUCCAUAUUGAAAGGCUCCUACUAAACUUUGCAAAAAAACACAUGGAAACAUCAGAGCUAACAAAGAAUGGAUUCAGCCUCUUUCUGCGGUUAGGUUUCUCUCUUGUUAAAAUAUAAGUGGAGUCAAUGCAUCAGUUUUGGGUUCUGGCUUCCUAUGUCCUCCCCUAGUAAAUGUACAGAAUUCUUAAAUAAAAUUCCAAACUGUCCUCAUCUCAAAGAGGUGGUGUCACUUUGAUACACUUUAAUUUAGAGAUGAUGUCACCCAUUCCCAUAUGUCCUUCUUAGUCACAAGGCUCUUAUGCCUAACCAAAAAAUCUCUCUAGCUUUAAAUUGCCUGUUUCCCUUUGUUCUUCAAAAAAAUUAUUCUAAAACCUACCAAGGAAAAUCCUCUUUAAGACCCUUCAUAUCAGCAAUUAAGACAGAGUAUAGGUUAGUCCAGUGCCAUGGAAAGGACACCAGUCAGAGCCAGAUGACCUAAAUCUGAGUUCAGGUUUUACUACUAAGUUCCCCCAAAGACUUUGGAUAACUCACAUUACCUCAGUGCACUGGAUUAGAAUAUUGAGACUUUUAGCUUGAAAAAAACUAGAUUUGAAUUCCUCUGAUAUGUGCUCACUGUGGGACCUUGGGUGAGCCAAUUCACUCCCCUGGGCCUCAGUCUCUUCCUCUAAAAAAGGAAGAUAAUGAUAAUGUUAAUGCCUAGCUCGCAGAAUUGUUGGGAAAUUCAAAUUAGAGAACUUUUCUAAAGUAAUUUUCAAACUACAAAGUGCUAUCUAAUGGUAGUUAUUGUAGUAGUAUUAUAAAAUUGGACUAAAAAUAACCUCAUUAGAGGGUUUCUUUGAGGAUCAAACCAGACAAUAUGUGUCAAAGUGCAAAGUCAACUAAGGAGGAUAUUAUUAUCCACUAGGCUUUCUCUUCCCCAUUUGGCCAACUUUUAAUUCUGUCAGUCUCUCAGUCAGUUCUAAUUUCCAUCUGUUUGAUCAUUUUUGUUCUGAUCUCUGAGCUCCACUUUCUCCUUGUCCUUCUUUAAAUGCCUACCUGAGACCCAAUGUGCCAACAAAGAACUGGUGUUUGCUACUCUCUUAUUAAUCCAUAGAAAAUUAUGAACAGAGAUAUGAAUCAUAAUGGAGGCAGAGGAGCUAACUUCACCCCACCCCAACAGUUCUGCUUCAAUGAUGUCCAUCCUGGCAUCCCAUAGCCCCCACACACAGAGAUAUAGGAAACUUUGAGGAAUAAGUCAGUACCUUUUUGACCCUUAUAGGCAUAAAUUUAAAAGUGGCUUCAGAAGUCAUGUAGUCUAAUCUCUUAAUUUUACAUAAAAGGAAACCUGAGGCCCUGGGAGGUUAAGUGCCUUGACCCAAGUAGAGAUUGGAUUUGAACUCAGAUCCUCUCAUUUCAGAGUCAGUCAGUGGACAUUUCCCAGAACCAGGCUGUCCACCAUAUUAAACUGAAUUAUACUCAACUUAUUGGUCUCUGCAAUAAAAACAAAAUCUUAACUCCUUCCUCAAUACAGGUCAGUCUAGAUUUUUCCCUAAAUGGUACUGAGAUUCCUCAAGAAUUGGUUGAUUCAAGGAACAAAGGGCUCUGAUCAUUAAUAUCAUUUUCUCAUCACUUAAGCACAAAGGAGUAUCAUGAGAGGGGAAGAGGUUGCAGAGAUUUGACCAUUAUGAUCAUGAUAGAUAAUGUAGGAAAGUGAGUUUUGCUUAACUGAGUCAACUUGAGAUGUCCUCAUUUCCUAUCCUUAUUGAAUUUCAUUCUGCUAUUGCCAAAUAAAUCCCAUUUUAUUCAUUGCUGAAUGACUUGAGUAUCUCAUUUUGUUCAACUAUUGAACCUAAACUAUCAGGAUCCAGUGUGAAUCAGUUGGAAAAAAAAAGGAGUAACAGUCAUGUUCCUGAAUGGCCUCUCUUUGAAGUGUCUUUUUACACAUAAGGAUUUCCUCUAUGGAGAGCACUCAGCAUUAAUUGGACUUUAAAUCUGAAGAUUUCUCUCUUUCUCUAACUUCUUUCCCAACCAUUAAGCCAAAUUUGAAUGAAAAGCCCCAAAGGUCAAUACUAGAUAAUUUCUAGUUUCCAGGUAGAUAGUGAUAUUAA
Molecule: long non-coding RNA, 5739 nt
Organism: Monodelphis domestica (gray short-tailed opossum)
Lineage: Eukaryota; Metazoa; Chordata; Mammalia; Didelphimorphia; Didelphidae
Source: RefSeq, a predicted model, not a curated record